This 305-nucleotide ribosomal RNA is filed under the name uncultured bacterium. Its description in RNAcentral is "bacterial SSU rRNA". It matches the Rfam family "Bacterial small subunit ribosomal RNA", at positions 338 to 635 of the family's 1533-position model. The record is from RNAcentral.
CCUACGGGAGGCAGCAGUAGGGAAUUUUCGUCAAUGGGCGCAAGCCUGAACGAGCAAUGCCGCGUGAACGAGGAAGGUCUUCGGAUCGUAAAGUUCUGUUGAAGGGGAAAAAGAGCGGAGAGAGGAAAUGGUCUCCGAUUGAUAUUACCCUUCGAGGAAGUCACGGCUAACUACGUGCCAGCAGCCGCGGUAAUACGUAGGGAGCAAGCGUUGUCCGGAAUUACUGGGCGUAAAGGGCGCGUAGGUGGGGGCUUAAGUCAGGUGUGAAAACUCUGGGCUCAACCUGGAGACUGCACUUGAAACUG